GUUAAGAUAGCUUAAAGCACAAAGCUUAGCGCUGAAAAUGCUAGAAUGAAGACCUUUUUCUUCUCUUAACA
This 71-nucleotide transfer RNA is filed under the name Euapta godeffroyi. RNAcentral describes it as "tRNA-Phe". It matches the Rfam family "tRNA". Rfam says of the family: Transfer RNA (tRNA) molecules are approximately 80 nucleotides in length. Their secondary structure includes four short double-helical elements and three loops (D, anti-codon, and T loops). Lineage: Eukaryota; Metazoa; Echinodermata; Holothuroidea; Apodida; Synaptidae. The record is from RNAcentral.